This 465-nucleotide ribosomal RNA is filed under the name uncultured bacterium. RNAcentral describes it as "partial 16S ribosomal RNA". It matches the Rfam family "Bacterial small subunit ribosomal RNA", at positions 28 to 507 of the family's 1533-position model. The record is from RNAcentral.
GACGAACGCUGGCGGCGUGCUUAACACAUGCAAGUCGUACGGUAAGGCCCUUUCGGGGGUACACGAGUGGCGAACGGGUGAGUAACACGUGAGUAACCUGCCCACAACUUUGGGAUAACGCUAGGAAACUGGUGCUAAUACUGGAUAUGUGCUCCUGCUGCAUGGUGGGGGUUGGAAAGCUCCGGCGGUUGUGGAUGGACUCGCGGCCUAUCAGCUUGUUGGUGGGGUAGUGGCCCACCAAGGCGGCGACGGGUAGCCGGCCUGAGAGGGUGACCGGCCACAUUGGGACUGAGAUACGGCCCAGACUCCUACGGGAGGCAGCAGUGGGGAAUAUUGCACAAUGGGCGCAAGCCUGAUGCAGCAACGCCGCGUGCGGGAUGACGGCCUUCGGGUUGUAAACCGCUUUCAGCAGGGACGAAGCUUUUUGUGACGGUACCUGCAGAAGAAGCACCGGCUAACUACGUG